RNAcentral lists this ribosomal RNA (506 nucleotides) under uncultured bacterium. RNAcentral describes it as "partial 16S ribosomal RNA". It matches the Rfam family "Bacterial small subunit ribosomal RNA", at positions 29 to 523 of the family's 1533-position model. The record is from RNAcentral.
AGUGAACGCUGGCGGUAGGCCUAACACAUGCAAGUCGAACGGCAGCACAGGAGAGCUUGCUCUCUGGGUGGCGAGUGGCGGACGGGUGAGGAAUACAUCGGAAUCUACUCUGUCGUGGGGGAUAACGUAGGGAAACUUACGCUAAUACCGCAAACGACCUACGGGUGAAAGCAGGGGAUCUUCGGACCUUGCGCGAGUGAAUGAGCCGAUGUCGGAUUAGCUAGUUGGCGGGGUAAAGGCCCACCAAGGCGACGAUCCGUAGCUGGUCUGAGAGGAUGAUCAGCCACACUGGAACUGAGACACGGUCCAGACUCCUACGGGAGGCAGCAGUGGGGAAUAUUGGACAAUGGGCGCAAGCCUGAUCCAGCCAUACCGCGUGGGUGAAGAAGGCCUUCGGGUUGUAAAGCCCUUUUGUUGGGAAAGAAAUCCAUCUGGUUAAUACCCGGGUGGGAUGACGGUACCCAAAGAAUAAGCACCGGCUAACUUCGUGCCAGCCGCCGCCGUAA